AGAGUUUGAUCCUGGCUCAGGAUGAACGCUGGCGGCGUGCUUAACACAUGCAAGUCGAGGGGAAACGACAUCGAAAGCUUGCUUUUGAUGGGCGUCGACCGGCGCACGGGUGAGUAACGCGUAUCCAACCUGCCCACCACUUGGGGAUAACCUUGCGAAAGUAAGACUAAUACCCAAUGACGUCUCUAGAAGACAUCUGAAAGAGAUUAAAGAUUUAUCGGUGAUGGAUGGGGAUGCGUCUGAUUAGCUUGUUGGCGGGGUAACGGCCACCAAGGCGACGAUCAGUAGGGGUUCUGAGAGGAAGGUCCCCCACAUUGGAACUGAGACACGGUCCAAACUCCUACGGGAGGCA
This 352-nucleotide ribosomal RNA is filed under the name uncultured bacterium. RNAcentral describes it as "bacterial SSU rRNA". It matches the Rfam family "Bacterial small subunit ribosomal RNA", at positions 8 to 350 of the family's 1533-position model. The record is from RNAcentral.